CUUGUUUUCGGAAAUUCUGGGCGUAAGCGCGUGUAGGUGGCUCGCUAAGUCGAAUGUGAAAGCCCCCGGCUUAACUGGGGGAGGUCAUUUGAUACUGGUGGGCUUGAGGACAAGAGAGGAGAGUGGAAUUCCCGGUGUAGCGGUGGAAUGCGUAGAGAUCGGGAGGAACACCAGUGGCGAAAGCGGCUCUCUGGCUUGUCCCUGACACUGAGACGCGAAAGCGUGGGGAGCAAACGGGAUUAGAUACCCCGGUAGUCCACGCCAUAAACGAUGCAGACUGGGUGUUGGCGCCAUUUGGCGUCAGUGCCGAAGCAAACGCGUUAAGUCUGCCGCCUGGGGACUACGAGCGCAAGCUUAAAACUCAAAGGAAUUGACGGGGGCCCGCACAAGCAGCGGAGCGUGUGGUUUAAUUCGAUGCAACACGAAGAACCUUACCAGGGCUUGACAUGCAGGUGGUAGCAAACCGAAAGGGGCGCGACCCGCAAGGGAGCCUGCACAGGUGAUGCAUGGCUGUCGUCAGCUCGUGCCGUGAGGUGUAGGGUUAAGUCCCGCAACGAGCGCAACCCCUGUCGCUAGUUACAUGUGUCUAGCGAGACUGCCGGAUUAUAUCCGGAGGAAGGCGGGGAUGAUGUCAAGUCAGCAUGUCCUUUAUGUCCUGGGCUACACACACGCUACAAUGGGCGUUACAGAGCGUUGCCAAACCGUAAGGUGGAGCUAAUCGCACAAAAGCGUCCUCAGUUCAGAUUGCAGGCUGCAACUCGCCUGCAUGAAGUCGGAGUUGCUAGUAAACGCGCGUCAGCUAUAGUGCGUUGAAUACGUUCCCGGGCCUUGUACACACCGCCCGUCACGUGAUGGGAGUUGGUAACACCUGAAGUCGGUGACCCAACCGCAAGGAGGGAGCCGCCGAGGGUGGGGCUAGUGACUGGCACGAAGUCGUAACAAGGUAACC
Molecule: ribosomal RNA, 949 nt
Filed under: uncultured bacterium
Lineage: Bacteria
Description: bacterial SSU rRNA
Rfam family: Bacterial small subunit ribosomal RNA
Source: RNAcentral